ACGGAAGGCAGCAGUGAGGAAUAUUGGUCAAUGGGCGAGAGCCUGAACCAGCCAAGUCGCGUGAAGGAUGAAGGUUCUAUGGAUUGUAAACUUCUUUCGUAUGAGGGUAAAGUGACUUACGUGUAAGUUAUUGCAAGUAUCAUACGAAUAAGCAUCGGCUAACUCCGUGCCAGCAGCCGCGGUAAUACGGAGGAUGCGAGCGUUAUCCGGAUUUAUUGGGUUUAAAGGGUGCGCAGGCGGCACGUUAAGUCAGCGGUGAAAUGCAGGGGCUCAACCCCGGCACUGCCGUUGAAACUGGCGAGCUCGAGUACGGAUGAAGUCGGCGGAAUGUGAUGUGUAGCGGUGAAAUGCUUAGAUAUGUCACAGAACACCGAUUGCGAAGGCAGCUGACUAAUCCGCAACUGACGCUCAGGCACGAAAGCGUGGGGAUCGAACAGGAUUAGAUACCCUGGUA
RNAcentral lists this ribosomal RNA (454 nucleotides) under uncultured Porphyromonadaceae bacterium. Its description in RNAcentral is "partial 16S ribosomal RNA". It matches the Rfam family "Bacterial small subunit ribosomal RNA", at positions 341 to 792 of the family's 1533-position model. The record is from RNAcentral. Lineage: Bacteria; Pseudomonadati; Bacteroidota; Bacteroidia; Bacteroidales; Porphyromonadaceae.